UGAAUGUGUGUGUCAGUGAGCUUGUGUGUAGUGAGCUGUGUGUAGCGAGCUUGCAUGUGUGUAUAAGUGAUCGGUCUAUAAUGAACUUUGUGAUCUUAUGUGUAUGUCAGUGAGCUUGUGUUUGUCUGAGCUUUCUGCAGUGAGCUGUGUGAUCUUGUGCGUGUGUGUGUGUGUAUGUCAGUGAGUUUGUGUCAGUAUGGUUUUUCUGUAGUGAGCUUGUGUAUGUGUCAUUUAGCCGUCUAUAGUGAGCUGUGUGAUCUUGUGCAUGUGUGUGUGUGUAUGUCAGUGAGUUUGUGUCAGUGUAGUUUUUCUGUAGUGAG
Non-coding RNA from Pelobates cultripes (western spadefoot toad), 320 nucleotides. Lineage: Eukaryota; Metazoa; Chordata; Amphibia; Anura; Pelobatidae. The record is from the annotation of a GenBank genome assembly.